AUUAACGCUGGCAGAGUGCAUAACACAUGCAAGUCGAGCGGGGUUGGCGGAUUAUCGCGGCCUAGCGGCAGACGAGUGAGUAACACGUAAGCAACCUGCCUUGGAAUGGCGAACAACCUUCCGAAAGGAUGGCUAAUACGCCGUAUGAUCGCCUGGGGGCAUCCCCGGGGGAUGAGAGACCCGCAAGGGUCGUUCCAAGAGGGGCUUGCGUCCCAUCAGCUAGUUGGCGGGGUAACGGCCCACCAAGGCUAUGACGGGUACCCGGCCUGAAAGGGCGGACGGGCACGAAGGCACUGAGACACGGGCCUUACUCCUACGGGAGGCAGCAGUGGGGAAUUUUGGACAAUGGGGGAAACCCUGAUCCAGCAACUCUGCGUGAGGGAUGAAGUCUUUCGGGAUGUAAACCUCUUUUGUCAGGGACGAACGCCCGCAAGGGUUUGACGGUACCUGGCGAAUAAGCCACGGCUAACUAUGU
RNAcentral lists this ribosomal RNA (475 nucleotides) under uncultured bacterium. Its description in RNAcentral is "bacterial SSU rRNA". It matches the Rfam family "Bacterial small subunit ribosomal RNA", at positions 29 to 506 of the family's 1533-position model. The record is from RNAcentral.